GGUGAGGUGGGUGAGAGGCUGAAACCACCAGUUUGCUAAACUGACGUACGGGAAACCGUACCGCGGGUUCGAAUCCCGCCCUCACCG
RNAcentral lists this transfer RNA (87 nucleotides) under Bacteroidota bacterium. Its description in RNAcentral is "Bacteroidetes bacterium (grounwater metagenome) tRNA-Ser". It matches the Rfam family "tRNA". Rfam says of the family: Transfer RNA (tRNA) molecules are approximately 80 nucleotides in length. Their secondary structure includes four short double-helical elements and three loops (D, anti-codon, and T loops). Lineage: Bacteria; Pseudomonadati; Bacteroidota. The record is from RNAcentral. RNAcentral also lists the same sequence under 2 other names.